Long non-coding RNA from Oncorhynchus keta (chum salmon), 388 nucleotides. RefSeq lists it as uncharacterized. The record is from RefSeq and is a predicted model, not a curated record. The transcript is spliced from 3 exons. Lineage: Eukaryota; Metazoa; Chordata; Actinopteri; Salmoniformes; Salmonidae.
GCACCUGAUGCAGAGGGUUCUAGUGAGACUGAGUGCUUGUGUGUCAGUGGAUGUUGAAGAGGAGGAAGAGCCUAAGCAGCACAGUACCAAUGUUAACCAGAAGAGGGUGCACUGCUCCCUUAGCACCCUCUGUGACUGGUGAUCCUGACCCCACUGUUUCUUGUUAAGCCCAGUGGCAAGGUGCUGCAGGUGCUGGUCAGAAUUUUUUUCCACCACGAUUUCUCCGUGCGCAACUUCAUCAAAGACCUGCAGGUUUGUGUGUACGUGUGUGUUGACCAUGGGGCCCCCUUACCAGUUGGCUCUGCUGGAGCACUUCCACAGCCAGCCUCUGAGCGUGCUGUGCUGUAAGGAGGCGGCGGCCCUGGGCCACGCCACUGAGCUCAGCCAC